GUGGCAUGAUCUGGACUCACUGCAACCCCCGCCUCCUGGGUUCAAGCAAUUCUCCCGUCUCAACCUCCCGAGUAGCUGGGAUUACAGGCGCGUGCCACACCCGGCUAAUUUUGUAUUUGUAGUAGAGAAGGGGUUUCAUCAUGUUGGCCAGGCUGGUCUUGAACUCCUGACCUCAAGUGAUCUGCCCGUCCCAGGCCUCCUAAAGUGUUGGGAUUACAGGCGUGAGCCAUUGUGCCCGGCAAGAGAGGCUUUCUUAAUUUCCCUUCUCAACGACCUGUUAAUUAAUCUUCCUCUUCAAACCCUGCUAUUGGUGAAGCCAGUCGGGUUUCUUACUUUGCUCUUUUGCCGAGUCAGGAGCCAGCUGGAAUGGGUCACUGACACUGUCAAGUUCAGAGGUGGUGAGAGACACAGAUUGCAGGUAUCUUUGUAAGUUCCAAUUCGUCCCCCACACCAGGUUCAGCUUGUCUUUACUCUCCCCUGAGUCACUUCGAGUUUGGUUCUACUGAUCUACAGGAAGCUUCUUCCCACCACUGAAUUCAAGGGACAGUCUUCCCAUAUGUCUUUACCAGCUCUCGCAAAUGAAGACAGAGCCUGUCUAUGUCAUUCAGACUGGCCUCAAACUCCAGGGCUCAACAAAGCCUCCUGCCUCAACUUCCCCAGUAGCUGGG
RNAcentral lists this long non-coding RNA (668 nucleotides) under Homo sapiens (human). RNAcentral's name for it is "non-protein coding lnc-TCIM-2:2". The record is from RNAcentral. Lineage: Eukaryota; Metazoa; Chordata; Mammalia; Primates; Hominidae.